UGGGGGUGGUGGAACUCUGUGAUGCCUCGGAAAGCUUGGAAGGGAUUAAGGAGCAGAACUCGUGGAUUUAGGCAGCAAUAAAAGGCAACCCGGUCACCCUCUGCUGUCACAUCUGCAGCUGGCCCUACAGAAGCACCCUGCAAAUGACCCGGGAGGUGGCUGUUAACGACCCCCGCCCCGGUUGCUGCCGGGGACCCUGCGGUGGGCACCCCUCGGACACUUCGAACUCCUGAUGGCUGCUGAGCUGCCAAGUCAGGUGCACGGUGGGGCGGGGGGGAGGUGGAGGUGUCCACAGCACAGCACCCCCCACUCCACCCUAUGCUCCAAACUGUCGCCCGCUAGCAGCAUCCUCAUCCCCGCCCUGCUCCCCUCCACCGCCCCCAGACCCCCGGCUGAGUGCCGGGACCAGGCGGAGGUGACAGCAAGCCCUGGAGCUGCAAGAGCGGCGAUCCCCCUCCCGGCCCCGAAUCGCUCCCCGCUACUGACCUUGAGCCCCGGGGCCGCGGGUGCAGUAGUCUCCAAAGCAGCCUUCAGAGCUUUGUUCUCCUCCAGCUGGGUCACAAGCCUAUCAGGAAACAAAACUGAGAGAAGUGAAUGUUGCAGUAGUUGAGGAGGGGCUUGCAGUGUGUGCCACUGAGCCGUAUGUGGUGUGUAGCAUACAGCACUCCCAGUUCCCUACCUGUGCUUCAUGGGCUGAUUCACAGUCACCCCAGGAAGAAUUUUUCUGCAGACUGUGAUGAACUUCACUGCUUUGUCAGAGGACAGGGGACAGUGGCUGUGCCUGAGGAUGGCAGAUUGGCCCUCCUGUGCUUAGGUGAAGAUAUUAUUGAUUCACACUCCUGUGUAAGCGAAAUCAGAAGCUCCAGCUGCAAGCUACCAACCUGAAUUUGGCAGCCACCACAUAGGAAAACCUCCACACCUCUGCCACGGCUCAGGCAGCUUCUCAGAGUGAUCCCCUUGCUGUUGCACGUCCUUAAAAUAUCUGCAGGAGGUGGGCUGAUCCCUUCUCUCUGCUCUACUCACUCUACCCCACCACGAUACAGAAUCUGCAGGGUGGAGUUGAAGAGAAACAAACUGCAGGUCACUUGGAUAGGACUGGAUCUGUCUCUCUAGGAUUUAUGGUUCCUCAAGUUGUCUAGAGGAGGAUUACAGACUGCAAGAUGCUUUUCCUCUGAUGCUACUUGUGUGGUGAGCAGGAGAAAUUUGGGAAUGAAAUGGUCUUUUACAAGAGAAAUUCAGCUGUGCUGAGCUACAGGCCACAACUAGGGGAGUGGACCAGGACAUUGAAGUACCAGCACUGUUAGCUCUCAGGUGCAGAGCUUAUCCUCAGCUUCAUGACUCCUCCACCAGGGACUUUGGGAACUAUUUGCAGAGAGACAUCUCUGAAGCUAAGCAGGAAAAAGGAGAACACCACUCUUGCCAGAUCUGGAGUAACUCCUACUCUGCUCUUUCUCACUUUGCUUCAUCCCAGCACAAGUGGAGUCAGGACACAAUCCCUGUCCUGGGGAAAGAGGCAGCAGCAUUUGACCGCUCCACAAACUCACUUUACGUUGCUGGUGGUUGGGGUUAAGUCUGACAAAGGUCACACUCACGGAGAGGCUGACAGAGCUAAACAGAAAAGGAAGAGCAGCGUUCAAGACCUUCAGCUGAGAAACAAAAGCAGCACUGUACAGAAAUGAGUAGCCAUCCAUUUGUUAGAAACCCCCAAGGCAAGCAAGGCCAGAAGGAGAGAAAGAUGGAAAAAGAAGUCAGAGAAGAGCCAAGAACAAGCUGGGCUUCAAACUGUGUAGGAAUUCUGCAGACCAAUGGAAUGGGACAAACAUACCUCUUAUGUUUUCUUCACCCCCUUUGAGAGUCCAACCCCCUGGGCUCCCUCUAAUUCUCUGGAAAACUUCUAGUUACAAUUUACAACUGAGACAGUAGUGUUAAACCUCUAACAAGUAUCAAGUCCCCUCGAGGAAAAUUCUGUUGAAAUUAGAGAGGCUUUGCCCAAACUCACAGUACAGAAUUGCAGCUUCCCAAACUGCACCAGCCUAUGUAGUGUGCAGCCUGAGAGCCAGCUGCCUGCUAACUCUUACAGACAGGAUUUGCUGAUGUGCAAAACCUUCACUUUUGAUGUAUUUCAUCUCCAUUUCUCAUCUUUCUCUGCAAAGGCUGAAGAA
Molecule: long non-coding RNA, 2162 nt
Organism: Pogoniulus pusillus (Red-fronted tinkerbird)
Lineage: Eukaryota; Metazoa; Chordata; Aves; Piciformes; Lybiidae
Exons: 3
Source: RefSeq, a predicted model, not a curated record